UCUCUGAAUAUGGGGGGACCAUCCUCCAAGGCUAAAUACUCCUGACUGACCGAUAGUGAACCAGUACCGUGAGGGAAAGGCGAAAAGAACCCCGGCGAGGGGAGUGAAAAAGAACCUGAAACCGUGUACGUACAAGCAGUGGGAGCACAGGUUUACCUGUGUGACUGCGUACCUUUUGUAUAAUGGGUCAGCGACUUAUAUUCUGUAGCAAGGUUAACCGUAUAGGGGAGCCGKAGGGAAACCGAGUCUUAACCGGGCGUUAAGUUGCAGGGUAUAGACCCGAAACCCGGUGAUCUAGCCAUGGGCAGGUUGAAGGUUGGGUAACACUAACUGGAGGACCGAACCGACUAAUGUUGAAAAAUUAGCGGAUGACCUGUGGCUGGGGGUGAAAGGCCAAUCAAACCGGGAGAUAGCUGGUUCUCCCCGAAAGCUAUUUAGGUAGCGCCUCGUGAAUUCAUCUCCGGGGGUAGAGCACUGUUUCGGCUAGGGGGCCAUCCCGGC
RNAcentral lists this ribosomal RNA (501 nucleotides) under Salmonella enterica. RNAcentral describes it as "partial 23S ribosomal RNA". Lineage: Bacteria; Pseudomonadati; Pseudomonadota; Gammaproteobacteria; Enterobacterales; Enterobacteriaceae. The record is from RNAcentral.